AAGAAAGAAAGAAAGAAAGAAAGAAAGAAAGAAAGAAAGAAAGAAAGAAAGAAAGAAAGAAAGAAAGAAAGAAAGAAAGAAAGAAAGAAAGAAAGAUGUGGUUGAGAACAGAAGGCCAGCUAAAAUUGGAAAAGAAAAUAAAUGCAAAAAAAAAAUUUCAGGGAGAAUUUAUGAUAGUUUAAAUCCCUAUUUCUUUUGCCAGGUAGAGAAAUCUUAAGCCUGUUACAUGAUCUUAAACAUCUUUCCAAGUGCUUCAGUGAAUCACUGCCAUUACCAAUAUGGGCAGAAAUUUACUAUAUCAGCUUCCCAGACACUGAAAACAGUGUUGGCAGAGCUGAUAGGUAUUAACUCAGUGAGUCAGAUAGGGUGUUCUUUUUUUAUCUUCAAGGCACACAGGAGCAGCUCCAGCCAUGUUGCCCCUGCAGCUGCUGCCAAAAUCUGGCUUGCCAGUGUGGUAAAUCUGGAACUGCUGAUGAUUGGCACUGCAAGACUUGCAUGCCUCGUAAAAGUUGUGAUGAUGCAGCCAAAGAAGAGCUUUGAAAAGCUACCUCUCAGACACCAAGGUCAAGAAAAGCAAUUGGCUCCUCAUAUGUUUUGUGAGUUUAAUGACCAAAAAAACUUGAGUUUUUGUAAAACUAGCCCUCUGUGA
This 649-nucleotide long non-coding RNA is filed under the name Zonotrichia albicollis (white-throated sparrow). Its description in RNAcentral is "lncRNA (ENSZALG00000015502.1)". The record is from RNAcentral. Lineage: Eukaryota; Metazoa; Chordata; Aves; Passeriformes; Passerellidae.